AAUAUUGCACAAUGGAGGGAACUCUGAUGCAGCAACGCCGCGUGGGUGAAGAAGGUUUUCGGAUCGUAAAACUCUGUCAUUGGGGAAGAAUAAAUGACGGUACCCAAUGAGGAAGCCCCGGCUAACUACGUGCCAGCAGCCGCGGUAAUACGUAGGGGGCGAGCGUUGUCCGGAAUUACUGGGCGUAAAGGGUACGUAGGCGGCUAUAUAAGUCAGAUGUGAAAUACCGAGGCUCAACCUCGGAGGUGCAUUUGAAACUGUUGGGCUUGAGUGCAGGAGAGGAAAGUGGAAUUCCUAGUGUAGCGGUGAAAUGCGUAGAGAUUAGGAGGAACACCAGUGGCGAAGGCGACUUUCUGGACUGAUACUGACACUGAGGUGCGAAAGCGUGGGGAGCAAACA
Molecule: ribosomal RNA, 399 nt
Filed under: uncultured bacterium
Lineage: Bacteria
Description: partial 16S ribosomal RNA
Rfam family: Bacterial small subunit ribosomal RNA
Source: RNAcentral